GACGAACGCUGGCGGCGUGCCUAAUACAUGCAAGUUGAGCGCUGAAGGUUGGUACUUGUACCGACUGGAUGAGCAGCGAACGGGUGAGUAACGCGUGGGGAAUCUGCCUUUGAGCGGGGGACAACAUUUGGAAACGAAUGCUAAUACCGCAUAAAAACUUUAAACACAAGUUUAAGUUUGAAAGAUGCAAUUGCAUCACUCAAAGAUGAUCCCGCGUUGUAUUAGCUAGUUGGUGAGGUAAAGGCUCACCAAGGCGAUGAUACAUAGCCGACCUGAGAGGGUGAUCGGCCACAUUGGGGACUGAGACACGGCCCAAACUCCUACGGGAGGCAGCAGUAGGGAAUCUUCGGCAAUGGACGAAAGUCUGACCGAGCAACGCCGCGUGAGUGAAGAAGGUUUUCGGAUCGUAAAACUCUGUUUGGUAGAGAAGAACGUUGGUGAGAGUGGAAAGCUCAUCAAGUGACGGUAACUACCCAGAAA
This 480-nucleotide ribosomal RNA is filed under the name uncultured bacterium. RNAcentral describes it as "bacterial SSU rRNA". It matches the Rfam family "Bacterial small subunit ribosomal RNA", at positions 28 to 489 of the family's 1533-position model. The record is from RNAcentral.